GACUCGUCACACUAUCAUUAACUGAAUCCAUAGGUUAAUGAGGCGAACCGGGGGAACUGAAACAUCUAAGUACCCCGAGGAAAAGAAAUCAACCGAGAUUCCCCCAGUAGCGGCGAGCGAACGGGGAGGAGCCCAGAGCCUGAAUCAGCAUGUGUGUUAGUGGAAGCGUCUGGAAAGGCGCGCGAUACAGGGUGACAGCCCCGUACACAAAAGCGCAUGUGCUGUGAGCUCGAUGAGUAGGGCGGGACACGUGGUAUCCUGUCUGAAUAUGGGGGGACCAUCCUCCAAGGCUAAAUACUCCUGACUGACCGAUAGUGAACCAGUACCGUGAGGGAAAGGCGAAAAGAACCCCGGCGAGGGGAGUGAAAAAGAACCUGAAACCGUGUACGUACAAGCAGUGGGAGCACAGGUUUACCUGUGUGACUGCGUACCUUUUGUAUAAUGGGUCAGCGACUUAUAUUCUGUAGCAAGGUUAACCGAAUAGGGGAGCCGGAGGGAAACCGAGUCUUAAUUGGGCGUUAAGUUGCAGGGUAUAGACCCGAAACCCGGUGAUCUAGCCAUGGGCAGGUUGAAGGUUGGGUAACACUAACUGGAGGACCGAACCGACUAAUGUUGAAAAAUUAGCGGAUGACCUGUGGCUGGGGGUGAAAGGCCAAUCAAACCGGGAGAUAGCUGGUUCUCCCCGAAAGCUAUUUAGGUAGCGCCUCGUGAAUUCAUCUCCGGGGGUAGAGCACUGUUUCGGCUAGGGGGCCAUCCCGGCUUACCAACCCGAUGCAAACUGCGAAUACCGGAGAAUGUUAUCACGGGAGACACACGGCGGGUGCUAACGUCCGUCGUGAAGAGGGAAACAACCCAGACCGCCAGCUAAGGUCCCAAAGUCAUGGUUAAGUGGGAAACGAUGUGGGAAGGCCCAGACAGCCAGGAUGUUGGCUUAGAAGCAGCCAUCAUUUAAAGAAAGCGUAAUAGCUCACUGGUCGAGUCGGCCUGCGCGGAAGAUGUAACGGGGCUAAACCAU
Molecule: ribosomal RNA, 1015 nt
Filed under: Salmonella enterica
Lineage: Bacteria; Pseudomonadati; Pseudomonadota; Gammaproteobacteria; Enterobacterales; Enterobacteriaceae
Also listed under: 2 other names
Description: partial 23S ribosomal RNA
Rfam family: Bacterial large subunit ribosomal RNA
Source: RNAcentral